This 253-nucleotide ribosomal RNA is filed under the name uncultured bacterium. RNAcentral describes it as "partial 16S ribosomal RNA". It matches the Rfam family "Bacterial small subunit ribosomal RNA", at positions 524 to 776 of the family's 1533-position model. The record is from RNAcentral.
UACGAAGGGAGCUAGCGUUGUUCGGAAUCACUGGGCGUAAAGCGCACGUAGGCGGAUGUGUCAGUCAGGGGUGAAAUCCCGGAGCUCAACUUCGGAACUGCCCUUGAUACAGCACGUCUUGAGUCCGGAAGAGGUGGGUGGAAUUCCUAGUGUAGAGGUGAAAUUCGUAGAUAUUAGGAAGAACACCGGUGGCGAAGGCGGCUCACUGGCCCGAUACUGACGCUGAGGUGCGAAAGCGUGGGGAGCAAACAGG